This 70-nucleotide transfer RNA is filed under the name Rattus norvegicus (Norway rat). It matches the Rfam family "tRNA". Rfam says of the family: Transfer RNA (tRNA) molecules are approximately 80 nucleotides in length. Their secondary structure includes four short double-helical elements and three loops (D, anti-codon, and T loops). The record is from Rfam by way of RNAcentral. Lineage: Eukaryota; Metazoa; Chordata; Mammalia; Rodentia; Muridae.
GGGGAUUUGGCUCAGUGGUAGAGCGCUUGCCGAGGAAGCGCAAGGUCCUGGGUUCGGUCCCCAGCCCCCA